AGAGUUUGAUCCUGGCUCAGGACGAACGCUGGCGGCGUGCCUAACACAUGCAAGUCGAACGAACUUAGCUGAGCUUGCUUGGCGAAAGUUAGUGGCGGACGGGUGAGUAACACGUGAGUAACCUGCCUUUCAGAGGGGGAUACCGUUUGGAAACGAACGUUAAUACCGCAUAAUGCAGCGUGACCGCAUGAUCGUGCUGCCAAAGGAGCAAUCCGCUGAAAGAUGGGCUCGCGGCUGAUUAGAUAGUUGGUGGGGUAACGGCCUACCAAGUCGACGAUCAGUAGCCGGACUGAGAGGUUGAUCGGCCACAUUGGGACUGAGGCACGGCCCAGACUCCUACGGGAGGCAGCAGUGGGGAAUAUUGCGCAAUGGGGGAAACCCUGACGCAGCAACGCCGCGUGUGGGAAGAAGGUCUUCGGAUUGUAAACCAUAGUCUUCGGUGACGAUAAUGACGGUAGCCGAGGAGGAAGCUCCGGCUAACUACGUGCCAGCAGCCGCGGUAAUACGUAGGGAGCGAGCGUUGUCCGGAUUUACUGGGUGUAAAGGGUGCGUAGGCGGGACUGCAAGUCAGGCGUGAAAUCUACCGGCUUAACUGGUAAACUGCGCUUGAAACUGUAGUUCUUGAGUGAAGUAGAGGUAAGCGGAAUUCCCGGUGUAGCGGUGAAAUGCGUAGAUAUCGGGAGGAACACCAGUGGCGAAGGCGGCUUACUGGGCUUUUACUGACGCUGAGGCACGAAAGCAUGGGUAGCAAAACAGGAUUAGAUACCCUGGUAGUCCAUGCCGUAAACGAAUGAUAAAUAGGUGUGGGGGAGUUUGACCUCUUCCCGUGCCGGAGUUAACACAAUAAGUAUUCCACUUGGGGAGUACGGCCGCAAAGGUUGAAACUCAAAGGAAUUGGCGGGGGCCCGCACAAGCAGUGGAGUAUGUGGUUUAAUUCGACGCAACGCGAAGAACCUUACCAGGUCUUGACAUCCAACUAACGAAGCAGAGAUGCAUUAGGUGCCUUAGGGAAAGUUGAGACAGGUGGUGCAUGGUUGUCGUCAGCUCGUGUCGUGAGAUGUUGGGUUAAGUCCCGCAACGAGCGCAACCCUUGCCAUUAGUUGCUACGUGAAGAGCACUCUAAUGGGACUGCCGUUGACAAAACGGAGGAAGGUGGGGACGACGUCAAAUCAUCAUGCCCCUUAUGACCUGGGCUACACACGUACUACAAUGGCCGUUAACAGAGGGAAGCUAUCCCGCGAGGAGGAGCAAAACCCUAAAAACGGUCCCAGUUCGGAUUGUAGGCUGCA
This 1289-nucleotide ribosomal RNA is filed under the name uncultured bacterium. RNAcentral's name for it is "bacterial SSU rRNA". It matches the Rfam family "Bacterial small subunit ribosomal RNA", at positions 8 to 1309 of the family's 1533-position model. The record is from RNAcentral.